UUGCUGUUAAACACCUCCACCCCCACCAUCGGCAACUGAAGGGCCUUGGCAUUUUCUACAUCCAUUCCUUGUCCCCUGCAGGGAGCAGCCUCUCAGUCAGUCUGCUCCUAGUGAGCCCGAGGAGAGUGGCCACCCUGCCCCACGAAGCAGGGCCCCAUCCCGCAGAGAAACGCUGCCCUUGCUGCCCUUGCUGCCGGCAGGGCAGAUCCUGUCCCUCCCCCAUCCACCGAGUUCCUCCUCUUCCCAUGCCGCGGUGAAAAAGGACUCCAGAGAAGAGAACAGCAAAGGAGAAAACACGCCUUUCUCCACAGUCGGGCAUGGAAUAAACACUGUCGCGUAUAAACUAAAGGGGAGUCUAUACGGCUGAUGGCGGCUGAUGGCGCGCUUUCCCUGAAGAGGCAGAGGGGAGCCUCACACUGCCUCUUUCUUCACCACAGGCCUCCACUGAGCUCCUUAGUCUUUCUUGUCCUCGGGUCCUGUUGUCCCGACUCACAAUCCUGUUGAUCUUACAUUUGAUCGUUACAUGUUUUUGUGAACCGUUGCAAAUCCUUUCUGGAGCAAGGUGGGACUUGCAUAACUAGACACACAGGCGAUUCUUGUUAACACAUGCAUGCCUUUAGGCCUGCGGGCCGGAGGUUGCCUGGGUUCAACAGUCGGCUUUGCUUUUGCCACUGUGUGAAUCAGAGGUGAAUGCGCGCUCUAGGUUCCUGAUCUGUAAAUGCCCUGGGGCAUAGAGGUGACAGUUUGGGGAGGUAGCCCCUACCCCAGCACAGUGAGGCCUCUGUGAAUGCUCCCCUCGGAAUCUAUGGUGGAUUCCUGUCUGCAGUGGAAUGAGGCAGGACCUCCAGAAGGUGGCAGACAGAUGACAGUUAUUCUCACAUCCUUGAUGGGUCGUGGACUAGUUGGACAGAGGAAAACAUCAGGUUCCAGAGAGAACGACCACAGGAAAUCAGGGGAAAGUGCAUCAGGAGUAUUGAUCCACAGAGGCCUGGUCACUGCCUGUGGACCAGCUACCAACCUUCCUGUCAUAAGGAAGCCUACAUAGACAGUGGCUAGGGUAUUACUAACACCAAUUGCCAGGUGGGGUACAAUAGACCUCCUAAUAACUGCAGCCUGAAGACUCUCGGAUAUCCAGUGAGGCUCUGGGUAUAGGAGAAGGGUGAGAAUAAGCUACUCUCACUUCACACAGAACCCCAACAUCUAUGAUAUUUGAGUGUGCUGGAAUACAUUGCCAUGCAGCAGUUGAUAACGAAUGCAAGAAUGACCCACACCUCUUCCUGGCGGAAAGACACAAGGCACAGGAGAUUAAGGAUAUCAUAGGAUCCAAAAUAACAGUUGCUCAAUAGAAAAUGUACGAUCUUUAUGGCGUGGGGCGUUUUAUAGAAAUGAUUUGGUUGCAUCUUUGAGCUAGGUACUCCCAGGAGUGGAUCUAGGUAUAUACCAAAUGAAUGAUAUGAGCAGUCAUCCAUUAUGACUAAUGAAUGAUUAGGCAUUAAAAAUGCCUAUCAUAUUCUGAACAUAUUAAUAAAGUACAACAGCAAAUUGUA
This is a long non-coding RNA of Mesocricetus auratus (golden hamster), 1547 nucleotides long. RefSeq lists it as uncharacterized. Lineage: Eukaryota; Metazoa; Chordata; Mammalia; Rodentia; Cricetidae. The record is from RefSeq and is a predicted model, not a curated record. The transcript is spliced from 2 exons.